RNAcentral lists this transfer RNA (72 nucleotides) under Marmota monax (woodchuck). It matches the Rfam family "tRNA". Rfam says of the family: Transfer RNA (tRNA) molecules are approximately 80 nucleotides in length. Lineage: Eukaryota; Metazoa; Chordata; Mammalia; Rodentia; Sciuridae. The record is from Rfam by way of RNAcentral.
UGGAGUGUGGCUUAGCGGCAGAGUGCUCGCCUGGCACGUGUGAGGCGCUGGGUUAGAUCCUCAGCACCACAU